GAUCCUGGCUCAGGAUGAACGCUAGCUACAGGCUUAACACAUGCAAGUCGCGGGGCAGCAUGGGGUAGCAAUACCCUGAUGGCGACCGGCGCACGGGUGAGUAACGCGUAUCCAACCUUCCCACUACUACGGGAUAACCCGUUGAAAGACGGACUAAUACCGUAUGAUAUCGUUCGAUGACAUCAGAAGACGAUCAAAGGUCAGCGGUAGUGGAUGGGGAUGCGUCCGAUUAGCUUGUUGGCGGGUAACGGCCCACCAAGGCGACGAUCGGUAGGGGUUCUGAGAGGAAGGUCCCCCACAUUGGAACUGAGACACGGUCCAAACUCCUACGGGAGGCAGCAGUGAGGAAUAUUGGUCAAUGGGCGCAAGCCUGAACCAGCCAAGUAGCGUGCAAGGAUGACGGCCCUAUGGGUUGUAAACUGCUUUUAUGCGGGGAUAAAGUGAGGGACGUGUCCCUCAUUGCAGGUACCGCAUGAAUAAGGACCGGCUAAUUCCGUGCCAGCCGCCGC
This 509-nucleotide ribosomal RNA is filed under the name uncultured bacterium. Its description in RNAcentral is "bacterial SSU rRNA". It matches the Rfam family "Bacterial small subunit ribosomal RNA", at positions 15 to 518 of the family's 1533-position model. The record is from RNAcentral.